CCCGGGUGGGGCCUGGACCCUUCCCCCGCUGGAACCCCUGGCUCCCGCAGGAAGGAGCCUGGACCCCCGCCCCUUCCCCCAGCAGGGAACCCUCAGCCCCCCCAGGCAGGAUCCUGCCCCCCACCCGCUGCAAGCACCUUCCUCCCCGCCAGCAAAGCGACAUGCAGCUUUCUCUUCCCCCCACGCCAGCUGGGAGCACCCCAAAACCCCUGUCCCUACCCCCUGCCCCUCAGCUACCAGCACCUUCAUCUCUCCCUGCGACCUGGAUUUCCCAGCACCCCCUCCCCCAGCAUGCAACCCGUGACACCCCCUCCCCAGCAUAGUCCUCUUCCCCCAACCCCCGAGCUGGGAGCACACCCAGUACCUUCACCCCCAGCAGGAAAACCGUGUUCCCCCCCCCAGCCCAGAGCCCCUUCACUCUGCACCAGCUGGGAGCACCCUGCACCCCCUGUGCCCAUGCAGACAGCAUGCAGCUUCCUCCCCUGGCCCCCCACAGCAGUGGGUGAUGUGGAUUCAGGACUCUUCAGUUACGUGUCAUAUGCCUCACACUGCUGAAGGUUGGGGACCCUCCUUUGGGACCAUUUGGAAGCCAGGCUGUGUCUGGCUCCUGCGUUGUCCUUGGAGAGAACAGGAGAGAGGCUGCUGGGCUGAAGAGAUUCUGCAAAGAUGAAAGCUGGGUGAACUCUGAGGCGUCAAUGCCUCUUUAAGAGCAAGGCAUGAUGGGGAAACCCUGCACAGCAUAAAAGGGAGAGAAGGGAGUUGUGGGCUAGUUAGAGGAAUUAAGUUCGGAUAGGGCUUGUCUACACUAUGGCACUGUAGUUAUGCGCUGGAUCACCAUAGGGUAGACGCUUUCUACAGCGACAGAAGGGGCUUUUCCACUGUCUUAAUGUAAUCCACCUCCCCGAGCAGCGGGAGCUAGGUCAAUGAAAACAUUCUUCUGUCGACGUAGCUGCAUCUACACUGGGAGUUAGGUCAGCAAAGUUAUGAGAAACUGCAGAAUUGGAAUUAAUUUGCAAACUGGACACCGUUAAAUUAGGCUUGAAUAAAGACUGGGAGUGGAUGGGUCAUUACACAAAGUAAAAACUAUUUGCCCAUACUAAUUUUUCCCCUACUGUUACUCACGCCUUCUUGUCAAUUGUUGGAAAUGGGUCAUCCUGAUUAUCACUACAGAAGUUUUUUUUUCUCCUGCUGAUAAUAGCCCACCUUAAUUGAUUAGUCUCGUUAGAGUGGGUAUGGCAACACCCAUUUUUUCACGUUCUCCGUGUAUGUAUAUCUUUCUACUGUAUUUUCCACUGCAUGCAUCCAAUGAAGUGGGCUGUAGCCCACAGAAGCUUAUGCCCAAAAAAAUUUGUUAGUCUCUAAGGUGCCACAAGGACUCCUCAUUCUUUUUAUCUUUUAAGAGUAGACCAGGCUUAAAUGUAAGCGGGUAUUUUUGUGCCUUUGGUGGUAUUUUAUUUAUUUAAUCAGUGUUAACUGAAAUGUUUUGCAUGAGAAGUUGUCUCGGAAAACAUGGUUUUGCCAGCACUGAAAACUGCCAAUUAAAUUUGUUAAAAUUUUCCUGUUCGGGUAAUUGGAAGGAAGAAUGU
Gopherus flavomarginatus (Mexican gopher tortoise) is the source of this 1586-nucleotide long non-coding RNA. RefSeq lists it as uncharacterized. The record is from RefSeq and is a predicted model, not a curated record. The transcript is spliced from 3 exons. NCBI's taxonomy places the organism in Eukaryota, Metazoa, Chordata, Testudines, Testudinidae.